AUACGUAGGUGGCGAGCGUUGUCCGGAAUUAUUGGGCGUAAAGCGCAUGUAGGCGGUUUGGUAAGUCGGUCGUGAAAAUGCGGUGCUUAACGCCGUAUGGCGAUUGAAACUGCUGAACUUGAGUGCAGGAGAGGAAAGGGGAACUCCCAGUGUAGCGGUGAAAUGUGUAGAUAUUGGGAAGAACACCGGUGGCGAAGGCGCCUUUCUGGACGGUGUCUGACGCGCAGAUGCGAAAGCCAGGGUAGCGAACGGGAUUAGAUACCCCGGUAGUCCUGGCCGUAAACGAUGGGUACUAGGUGUGGGAGGUAUCGACUCCUUCCGUGCCGGAGUUAACGCAAUAAGUACCCCGCCUGGGGAGUACGGCCGCAAGGCUUAAACUCAAAUGAAUUGACGGGG
This 396-nucleotide ribosomal RNA is filed under the name uncultured bacterium. RNAcentral describes it as "partial 16S ribosomal RNA". It matches the Rfam family "Bacterial small subunit ribosomal RNA", at positions 523 to 918 of the family's 1533-position model. The record is from RNAcentral.